GGCAAGCAUAUAGCAACAGGAGAGAGCCCUGGCUGGAGGAUGCUGCACAUAUGGGGAAAAGAGCACUGACUGUUUCAGAAGAUGGAAUUCAAUUGCCGGAAGGGCCGGAUGUGUCCCCUCCCAUUGGUCCAGCUGGGGAAAGCUCCUGCCAUCAUCCUGGAAACAGGAAAAAUGACACCAUGCAUCCUUAAGUGUAAGGUGGAUCAUGAAGUGACAGAAACAUGGGAUAGUCCAGAAGGUUGACUGUGUAUUCUCUGCCUGGGAAAGAAGCAGACAGAUAGAAGCCAUGUCUGCCCUCUACUUGGUUUCAGACAUCUCACAUUUUUCCAUGAUUUGUCAAAGGAAAGAAAUCCUUCUUUUGCUGCCCAGACCACUUCAUAAAGAAGAUACAGAUCUUCCCCUUGUCUGGUAUUCAGCACAUCUUCAACAGCUGAAGAAAGCCUUGGUGCCACGUAAGCAAAGAGCAGGAAAGCUCAUGGUGAGAGCCUUCUGGAGCUUUAAAUGCCAGAGUAUUUUUAUGCAAAACAAAUGUCUGUUACCUCAUACUAUGGAUUUAAUGUCUGCUAUUUUCAACUUUCACCAUUUUAUUAAAAUAAAGUAAAUGUCUUUUUUUUUUUUUUAACCUGUCUGUUUUUAAUUUUCUCAUAUAUAUCUGGAAUGAGGAGGAACUGUUUCAGAAGACUUGAAAAUAUAGAAACAAGAAAGAGACCUUUUUUUUUUUUUUUUUUUUUUCAUCACAGUUUUAGAGUUUUAGUAUACGGUUCCGGCAGCUUAUUUGAGCUGCUCAGUUCUUAUGUCAUAACACCUUAAAAAGGAGGCAUGCAGAUUUGACUGAUGGUUCAGGAUACUCCAGAUUGAUGCAUGAGCUCACUAGAGGGAUAGACAGAGUGGGUUCAGAAGUGUAGCCCCAAAAUAUCUGCUAGAGUGCAGCCCAUGGGGGUAAUCUUGGCCUGUCACCAGUAUCUCUCUGGAUGGAGCUCAUGAGGUUGAACCAGUGCUGUGCAUUGCGUGAUUCCCAUAAUGUGGGAUGCUGUGUUUUGGGGAAGCAUAGGCAUUUGCUUGUUGAACUUAUGUUUUUUUUUCCUUUUUCUUUUCUUAUGGAAAAAGCACAAGGUUCCUCCAUGCUACAUCACUCUGUCAUGAGAGAACUUUGGCAGGAGCAAGGCAUUAAAUGGCUUGUACAAGGCUGCCUUUAUGCAUUCGCAGGUGUCUAAGUUGAGGUAUGCAGGGAAUUUCAUAGACCAGCCUGGAUCUUGUUUUCAGUCACAUAUCAAAAUGCGUGCCAUGCCUACUUAGCACAUAUCACAUGAAAAACAUGCCAAACAUGGAAGCAAUGAAAGUCUGAAUAGGAGAAUAUCACCUUUUAAAAAACAUUAAUAAAGUUUUCAAAAAUAAAAAUAAGUAUAAUUCAUUACCCUAAAAUGUAGCCUUUAAUCUUUUCAAGGCUGGCAUGAGCCCUAACCAUAGGUUUUGGAGUAAUUAAAUGAUCAUAUAAUACUAAAAUGUUUAUGUGGGCUUUCACAACUAAAUUUUAGACCUGUUGGGCUUUUCAGUAUGAUCUAAUGGCUGGUGCACAGAAGCUGUUGUUAAGACUCCCAGGCUCUGUUUCUCCUUUCUGCCAAGAUUUACAGCUAAUGAGAUGCUAUUUUCUGCACUGCCUGGCUAGUGCAAAACUGUAUUUGUUAAGGGUUGUUUUUAUGAGCUAAGAUUUACAGUUUCUAAUGAUCACAUGCAAAGUAAACCUUUUAUUUACUUAACCACCAUGAAAAACUGCAUGUAACAAAAUCAUCAUAUAAUUCUUGCUGCAGAAACAUAGCUGCUUUAUAGCCACUGUGAUUUUUUUAGACUUAUACAAAGAACCAUAUCUUAUCACCUUUGCUUAUGCUGAGUGGAAUCUUUUCAAGCAGUCCUGUAGAGAUGAUUUUUCAGUUUCAUGAAUAAUUUUCUGAGACUUUGGUGGAAAAGAAGUCUGAAAACUGAAAAAAGUGGAAUGAACAACAUUUUCAGUGCCAAGGAGCAAAGUGGUCUUUUCUGUUCAGGUAUGUGGAACUCGUUCUGGUUACUCAAAGAGAGAAUUACUAUUCAAACUUUGGUUAUCAGAAUCUGGCCCAGAGUAAACAAACUUUUUCAUGGCAAAGCCAUAAAAACUCCAUAAUAUGCCCAAAUUUGAACAAUUUACAGUAACUCUGAAGUCUUUGGUUGUUCAGAGAAGGACUUAAU
Molecule: long non-coding RNA, 2220 nt
Organism: Cairina moschata (Muscovy duck)
Lineage: Eukaryota; Metazoa; Chordata; Aves; Anseriformes; Anatidae
Source: Ensembl